This 251-nucleotide ribosomal RNA is filed under the name uncultured prokaryote. Its description in RNAcentral is "partial 16S ribosomal RNA". It matches the Rfam family "Bacterial small subunit ribosomal RNA", at positions 525 to 775 of the family's 1533-position model. The record is from RNAcentral.
ACGGAGGGUGCGAGCGUUAAUCGGAAUUACUGGGCGUAAAGCGUACGCAGGCGGUUCGCUAAGCGAGAUGUGAAAGCCCCGGGCUUAACCUGGGAAAGGCGCUUGUGACUGGCAGGCUAGAGUGUGGUAGAGGGGGGUGGAAUUUCAGGUGUAGCAGUGAAAUGCGUAGAGAUGUGAAGGAAUACCGAUGGCGAAGGCAGCCACCUGGGUCAACACUGACGCUCAUGUACGAAAGCGUGGGGAGCAAACGG